This 397-nucleotide ribosomal RNA is filed under the name uncultured bacterium. RNAcentral's name for it is "partial 16S ribosomal RNA". It matches the Rfam family "Bacterial small subunit ribosomal RNA", at positions 523 to 918 of the family's 1533-position model. The record is from RNAcentral.
AUACGUAGGUGGCAAGCGUUGUCCGGAAUUAUUGGGCGUAGAGCGCGCGCAGGUGGUUCCUUAAGUCUGAUGUGAAAGCCCCCGGCUCAACCGGGGAGGGUCAUUGGAAACUGGGGAACUUGAGUGCAGAAGAGGAUAGUGGAAUUCCAAGUGUAGCGGUGAAAUGCGUAGAGAUUUGGAGGAACACCAGUGGCGAAGGCGACUGUCUGGUCUGUAACUGACACUGAGGCGCGAAAGCGUGGGGAGCAAACAGGAUUAGAUACCCUGGUAGUCCACGCCGUAAACGAUGAGUGCUAAGUGUUGGGGGGUUUCCGCCCCUCAGUGCUGCAGCUAACGCAUUAAGCACUCCGCCUGGGGAGUACGGUCGCAAGACUGAAACUCAAAGGAAUUGGCGGGG